AAUGAACGCUGGCGGCGCGCCUAAUACAUGCAAGUCGAGCGAGAAGACGUAGCAAUACGUUUGUAAAGCGGCGAACGGGUGAGGAAUACAUGGGUAACCUACCCUCGAGUGGGGAAUAACUAGCCGAAAGGUUAGCUAAUACCGCGUACGCUCCUUGGACUUCGGUUCAGGGAGGAAAGCGAUACCGUGGGUAUCGCGCUCUUGGUUGGGCUCAUGUCCUAUCAGCUUGUUGGUGAGGUAACGGCUCACCAAGGCUUCGACGGGUAGCUGGUCUGAGAGGACGAUCAGCCACACUGGCACUGCGACACGGGCCAGACUCCUACGGGAGGCAGCAGUAAGGAUAUUGCGCAAUGGGCGAAAGCCUGACGCAGCGACGCCGCGUGGGGGAUGAA
RNAcentral lists this ribosomal RNA (392 nucleotides) under uncultured bacterium. RNAcentral describes it as "bacterial SSU rRNA". It matches the Rfam family "Bacterial small subunit ribosomal RNA", at positions 29 to 412 of the family's 1533-position model. The record is from RNAcentral.